UGCUGUAAGAGGCAUGCCAUUGAGA
This 25-nucleotide non-coding RNA is filed under the name Mus musculus (house mouse). The record is from RNAcentral. Lineage: Eukaryota; Metazoa; Chordata; Mammalia; Rodentia; Muridae.